CGUUAGCUCAAUGGUUAGAGCAGGGGACUCAUAAUCCCUUGGUUACAGGUUCGAAUCCUGUACGGC
This 66-nucleotide transfer RNA is filed under the name marine eukaryotic metagenome. It matches the Rfam family "tRNA", at positions 5 to 66 of the family's 71-position model. Rfam says of the family: Transfer RNA (tRNA) molecules are approximately 80 nucleotides in length. Their secondary structure includes four short double-helical elements and three loops (D, anti-codon, and T loops). The record is from RNAcentral.